Small nucleolar RNA from Callipepla squamata (scaled quail), 143 nucleotides. The record is from Rfam. NCBI's taxonomy places the organism in Eukaryota, Metazoa, Chordata, Aves, Galliformes, Odontophoridae.
CUUCAGUGAGGAUAAGAUGACGAGUCAGAAGGGCUGGCUCCUGCAGAGUGCUGCCUGCAGUGCCACGUUCUGUGCUGCUGCGUGUGGUCCUUUAGCAGGAGCGUCCUGUCACUGGAUGAUUUAGAGGCAUUUGUCUGAGGAGG